UUAUACAGCGAAACUGCGAAUGGCUCAUUAUAUAAGUUAUCGUUUAUUUGAUAGUACCUUACUACUUGGAUAACCGUGGUAAUUCUAGAGCUAAUACAUGCUAAAAAUCCCGACUUCGGAAGGGAUGUAUUUAUUAGAUUAAAAACCAAUGCCCUCUGGGCUUCUUGGUGAUUCAUGAUAACUUCUCGAAUCGCAUGGCCUUGUGCCGGCGAUGGUUCAUUCAAAUUUCUUCCCUAUCAACUUUCGAUGUUUGGGUAGUGGCCAAACAUGGUUGCAACGGGUAACGGAGGGUUAGGGCUCGACCCCGGAGAAGGAGCCUGAGAAACGGCUACUACAUCCAAGGAAGGCAGCAGGCGCGCAAAUUACCCAAUCCCGACACGGGGAGGUAGUGACAAUAAAUACUGAUACAGGGCUCUUUUGGGUCUUGUAAUUGGAAUGAGUACAAUUUAAAUCCCUUAACGAGGAACAAUUGGAGGGCAAGUCUGGUGCCAGCAGCCGCGGUAAUUCCAGCUCCAAUAGCGUAUAUUAAAGUUGUUGUGGUUAAAAAGCUCGUAGUUGAACCUUGGGCCUGGCUGGCCGGUCCGCCUCACCGCGUGUACUGGUCCGGCCGGGCCUUUCCCUCUGUGGAACCCCAUGCCCUUCACUGGGUGUGGCGGGGAAACAGGACUUUUACUUUGAAAAAAUUAGAGUGCUCCAGGCAGGCCUAUGCUCGAAUACAUUAGCAUGGAAUAAUAGAAUAGGACGUGUGGUUCUAUUUUGUUGGUUUCUAGGACCGCCGUAAUGAUUAAUAGGGACAGUCGGGGGCAUCAGUAUUCAAUUGUCAGAGGUGAAAUUCUUGGAUUUAUUGAAGACUAACUACUGCGAAAGCAUUUGCCAAGGAUGUUUUCAUUAAUCAGGAACGAAAGUUAGGGGAUCGAAGACGAUCAGAUACCGUCGUAGUCUUAACCAUAAACUAUGCCGACUAGGGAUCGGACGAUGUUACUUAUUGACUCGUUCGGCACCUUACGAGAAAUCAAAGUGCUUGG
This 1025-nucleotide ribosomal RNA is filed under the name Xepicula leucotricha. RNAcentral's name for it is "SSU rRNA". It matches the Rfam family "Eukaryotic small subunit ribosomal RNA", at positions 74 to 1110 of the family's 1831-position model. The record is from RNAcentral. Lineage: Eukaryota; Fungi; Ascomycota; Sordariomycetes; Hypocreales; Stachybotryaceae.